UCGGCGCGCGCAGCACCGACUGUCCGCCAUGUUGGAAGUAUCGAAGUAUUUGAUACAUUCGAUAUUAUUCGAUACUUUCGUAACAAGAUGACGCAGUUUAGUCUGGUCAGUGAACUGUGCGGAUCGUGUCGAAUCGCGGGGGAGGAAAAUGUAAAGAAUUAGUAAUUUUUCAGCGUAUUUUUUCGUUUUUCGUGGUUAAUUAACAAUUUUAUAACCGCGCGCAAUGCGGUUAGUGGUAUCAGUGUUAAAAUAAGUUCGAGUUUGCUUCAAAUCACGCGAAAAUAAAUUCAACGUGACUGUUCAAGGGCGUGGCCAAUUUCUCUUCCGAACGAUCUUAGAAUCGGUUUUAUUCCGAGUAUAAUUUUCGGUCGAAUUAAUUAUUAUUUUCUCGUUUUUAUCGUUCAUAUCGGUAUUUGUGCUUCUGAAGACCACUACGCCAAAGGAUACAUGCUCCAUGAGCUUUCUGCAAAAACCGAAGGGACGUGAGACGGUUCCGGAUAUUCAACGACCGGGUAAAGGUGAGAGGUGAACGAUCGCAGCGUGGACGCAGAAUCCCACGAAUGGAACAUCUCGACAAAAGGGAGCCGGAAAAGGUUAGCAGAUUGUUCGCUUCCAGAUCGAAAACCGUUUCUGACGCGAUACCGUUCAGUUUACACGAUCUUCGGGAGAUAGUGGAAGACAAGAGGACGCGUCCAUUUACCAAACAGCUGAGUCAAGAUAAAGGAGGAUUAACCUGGAAAGGACGAGUAAAUCUACCCUGGCCUUUGAUUAUCUAGGAGAGUGCUAAGGUACAGUCAUUUAUCAAUUUAGAAAAAUUUAAAUUUCGAAAUUUGAAAAAUGGAACUCGCACGUGGAACUUACAUUUUCUUGGAAAAUAAAAAUUCCAAAAAAUCGAGAAAUUUUGGUAAGUUGCAAAUAAGAACGGCUACCGAAUGAAGGUUUCUAGCAGCUAACCAGUGGAAGGAUCGGGUGGAAUGUCCGAUCCCUGUAAAAUAAAAGGCUGCUGGUAACCGAUUUAAACGGGUCCUGACCAGCUGACACGACUGACGCGGAACCAUCGGUAAACCGGUUGGCGAAUAGCUUGUGGGAACAAAGACGGGUCUUAUUCGCGAUGUUGUGACGUCACACAGGCGAAGCGGA
Osmia bicornis bicornis is the source of this 1140-nucleotide long non-coding RNA. RefSeq lists it as uncharacterized. The transcript is spliced from 4 exons. Lineage: Eukaryota; Metazoa; Arthropoda; Insecta; Hymenoptera; Megachilidae. The record is from RefSeq and is a predicted model, not a curated record.